Molecule: transfer RNA, 70 nt
Filed under: Camelus bactrianus (Bactrian camel)
Lineage: Eukaryota; Metazoa; Chordata; Mammalia; Artiodactyla; Camelidae
Also listed under: 2 other names
Rfam family: tRNA
About the family: Transfer RNA (tRNA) molecules are approximately 80 nucleotides in length.
Source: Rfam by way of RNAcentral
GAAUUUAUAGCUCGGGGUAGAGCGCGUGCUUAGCAUGCACAAGGUCCUGGGUUCAAUCCCAGCACCUCCA